Molecule: long non-coding RNA, 703 nt
Filed under: Canis lupus familiaris (dog)
Lineage: Eukaryota; Metazoa; Chordata; Mammalia; Carnivora; Canidae
Description: lncRNA (ENSCAFG00030003549.1, ENSCAFG00040014823.1)
Source: RNAcentral
AUGAUCAAGAAACCACCUGUUUUUAGCAUUGAUUUCCUUGGUUUUGGAUUUGACGAUUUUAAGAGUGCAAAAGCAGCUGAACCACAUGCAGAGCUCAGAGAAGCUGAAGAAGAUGUGGCUGAAAUGGAGAGAGCACACGGAAUGCAAGAGUACAGUGAGGCGCCGGGCUGGCCCCCGUCAGCACGCAAGGGCAGCUGGAAGCAAGGAGACAGUGCACGCUACUGGCCAAGCACAAGUGCCCAGAGAAAAGCCCCACCCCUUCAGGAGGCGUGCAGACCAGUGGUGAGCCCAGAAAGACUUCAUCAUGUCAGAGUCUUAGCGGUGAGCAUCUGCAUUGGCUGUGGAAGGAAACCUUGCAUCUCCCACACAACGGAUCUGGGCAAGGCAAAGGAGCAUGAAGAGCCACAGGCCACCGGGGGCUUCUCAGACCUGGUCCAGACUCGGGAAGAGAGUGCCCCAGUGAGACCAAAACUUCUGCAGGUUAGGGACUGUGUCUUCACACUUUAGAAGAGCCCAACACAGCAUGGACUUCCCAGAAGGUGACCUUCUGGCCAUUCCUGUGACUUAUCUCUGAAUCCAAUUCAAGCUCUCCAUACCGUAUGCAUAAUUCAUCAGCGGUCCAGCUCCCUAACAGCAUCAGAAUACCUUGAUCCCUGAAACGGUCGAAUGCACCAUCCAGCACGAAACUGGGAUUACUCUUAUC